RNAcentral lists this ribosomal RNA (253 nucleotides) under uncultured bacterium. RNAcentral's name for it is "partial 16S ribosomal RNA". It matches the Rfam family "Bacterial small subunit ribosomal RNA", at positions 524 to 776 of the family's 1533-position model. The record is from RNAcentral.
UACGUAGGGUGCGAGCGUUAAUCGGAAUUACUGGGCGUAAAGCGUGCGCAGGCGGUUCGUUAAGUUCGUUGUGAAAGCCCCGGGCUCAACCUGGGAACUGCAAUGGAAACUGGCGGGCUUGAGUGUGGCAGAGGGGGGUGGAAUUCCGCGUGUAGCAGUGAAAUGCGUAGAGAUGCGGAGGAACACCGAUGGCGAAGGCAGCCCCCUGGGCCAACACUGACGCUGAGGCUCGAAAGCGUGGGGAUCAAACAGG